Thalassophryne amazonica is the source of this 153-nucleotide long non-coding RNA. RefSeq lists it as uncharacterized. Lineage: Eukaryota; Metazoa; Chordata; Actinopteri; Batrachoidiformes; Batrachoididae. The transcript has 3 exons. The record is from RefSeq and is a predicted model, not a curated record.
CUCCUUUGCCACUGUGUGCCAAUGCAGGUGGCUCUCACACUGGUCCAUACGCUCCUGAUGCAGGAACUUGCACUUGUCAGGAACAAGGAGGGCAUCACUCACAAAUUCCCCCACUGCACCUCGAAACAAUAUCCACAUCCUACUGAUAUUAGG